This 320-nucleotide ribosomal RNA is filed under the name Lomentospora prolificans. RNAcentral describes it as "Scedosporium prolificans Eukaryotic small subunit ribosomal RNA". It matches the Rfam family "Eukaryotic small subunit ribosomal RNA", at positions 1016 to 1349 of the family's 1831-position model. Lineage: Eukaryota; Fungi; Ascomycota; Sordariomycetes; Microascales; Microascaceae. The record is from Rfam by way of RNAcentral.
CGUCGUAGUCUUAACUAUAAACUAUGCCGACUAGGGAUCGGACGAUGUUAUUCUUUGACGCGUUCGGCACCUUUCGAGAAAUCAAAGUGCUUGGGCUCCAGGGGGAGUAUGGUCGCAAGGCUGAAACUUAAAGAAAUUGACGGAAGGGCACCACCAGGGGUGGAACCUGCGGCUUAAUUUGACUCAACACGGGGAAACUCACCAGGUCCAGACACAGUGAGGAUUGACAGAUUGAGAGCUCUUUCUUGAUUCUGUGGGUCGUUCUUAGUUGGUGGAGUGAUUUAUCUGCUUAAUUGCGAUAACGAACGAGACCUUAACCU